UACGUAGGGUGCGAGCGUUGUCCGGAAUUAUUGGGCGUAAAGAGCUCGUAGGCGGUGUGUCACGUCGGCCGUGAAAACCUGCAGCUUAACUGUGGGCGUGCGGUCGAUACGGGCAUCACUGGAGUUCGGCAGGGGAGACUGGAAUUCCUGGUGUAGCGGUGAAAUGCGCAGAUAUCAGGAGGAACACCGGUGGCGAAAGGCGGGUCUCUGGGCCGUAACUGGACGCUGGAGGAGCGAAAGCAUGGGGAGCGAACAGG
This 257-nucleotide ribosomal RNA is filed under the name uncultured bacterium. Its description in RNAcentral is "partial 16S ribosomal RNA". It matches the Rfam family "Bacterial small subunit ribosomal RNA", at positions 524 to 776 of the family's 1533-position model. The record is from RNAcentral.